Molecule: long non-coding RNA, 2518 nt
Organism: Zingiber officinale
Lineage: Eukaryota; Viridiplantae; Streptophyta; Magnoliopsida; Zingiberales; Zingiberaceae
Exons: 4
Source: RefSeq, a predicted model, not a curated record
ACUAAUUUGUUCUCCUCAAUUAGUCCGAUUGCCUUCGCUUCCUUCUCCACCACCCUCCCCGUCUCCUUCCUUUUUUCCGUCUCCCUCCCUGCUCUCCGGCCGACGGAUCCCUACGCCUCUGCGUCCCGCUUUUACGCAGAGCACCGGAGUCUCUCCUUCCGAGCGCCUCCGUCGCCCCUCCUCCUUCCUUUGGCCGUCUCCGUUUCCGAGGUCGUUCUCUCCUUCCUCCGUCGCCUAACCGAUCGCCCCGCCAUUCCUAAUCCGGAGGAGCUAUCUCAGCAUCUCUCACUCCAAGGGACCUGGGACUUCGGAUCCCUUUUCUAUGCCGUUCGGCGGGUGGCCCGCCCGGCCGUCAGGCUACCUCAACACCCCGCUCACGGUGGUGGCAGCCGGGAUGGCGAAGUGGCUUGUAUUCUACAACGGCGUGCUGAUGGUUAGGGUUCAGUUGGUUCCCCAACAUUCCUUGGGACCGACAUCCUCCCUCCGCAAUCAGGGAUCUCCGCGAUCCGUAUCUCAAUAUCUUCAGGAACAUCAUCCAGAACUGUCUUGGGAACUCUCGGGCCGAUUAUCAACAGCAGCCGGAUGAUGAAGUAUUGAAGAUCUGGCAGAGAAGAAAAACUUGCUGUGAAGAAUAAGCUUCAGAAUCUGAUAUAUAUACAUCACUGUACAAGACAAGAGCUUCACCAUGUGAGAGUUACUAAUUAUCAGGCAAAAGUGGAAGACGAGGUACACUAGAACCCGAAUUCCAUCCGUGUAGAGAAUUAAGAUCCAUCUCUUGUGCUUGCUCGCUUAAAUGCACUCCAGGGCUCUUCGCGGAUGAGCUGUUCUUAUUGACCUUCGUGGGAAGAAUCUGCAGCCUGGAGUUCAGCUCUGUUCCUGAUCUCUUUGCGGCCAAUUGGUAGCUUUCGACGAGCUCAAGUUGACGAGUAAUUAUCUCGGAACAUCUUGGGAGGAGCUCUACAGGUUCUCCGCCAGGAAUUACAAUGUACUCGAUAGCCAUUCGAACCUCCUGCGGUAGUAUCAGUAAGAACAAAGCGCUGUAAGGGCACUGGCAAACCGAGGAAGCAGAACACCAAUUGUUUACCUUGAUUACAAAUACAGGCAGGUGGUGGAACUUUGCGACACUGCGAAUCCAAGGAUUUUGCUUCAUUUCGGAACUUGAUGCUAAAAUUGCAUUUGCUGUUCCAAUGUCUUCAGUCACAUGAAUAUCAUCCUCAUAGCCCAUCACAGUUGCUACUUGCAGCAGGUCAGCUUCCAAAGUCUUAACAAUGAAUGGAAAUAAGCAUCAAUUGAUCCAAUACAGUAAAUUAUUUAAUGACAAUGAAUGAAGGACAUGUUGAAAACUGAAAAUGGAAGGCAAUUGAAUUGUCUGGUGACUACCUUAAAAGUAUAAACACGAACUGGCGAUCUCCUUGGUGUAUAUGAAUUGCUUCUUGCUUUCUUGUUAUAUCCAGCAUUGUCAUUUCCAUCAUCAACAUCCUUUUUAGAACUAACAAAUGGUUCCUCUUCAUGAAACUCCUGUGGAGCCGGAGAAGAGUUGCUCAAUUCGCCUUUUGGAUCAAUCUUACGUGUUUCAAAGGGAGGAGUUUUCCCUGUAUUCACAAAAGAAUGACCAAGACAAUGAAAUAUUUUCUGAAACAGGAAUUUGAAGAACAGGCUGACAAUUAAGGAGAGGAAAUAUAUAUAUAUAUAUAUAUAUAUAGAGAGAGAGAGAGAGAGAGAGAGAGAGAGAGAGAGAGACCUGCUAGAAUGGCGUCUACUGUAGCUUCUAGUUUGUGAUGAACUCGGCACUCAGUUUUUGAUAUCAUCUCAACAGCACAGGUAAAUGUAGGUGGUCCUUUUCUUUCAAGUAUUGUCUUUUGCACUUUCCUUUUUCUAGCUUCUUCAUCACCAAGUGUCACACUCUACAUCAGAACAAGUUCAAAGUAGCCUUUAUAUGUGCAAAUUGAUUAAUAUGAUACAUAUUUUUUUAUCUCAUGCAAGAAGAUCUAUUAUUUCACAGUUGCAUCAUAUUUAGUCACUAAGAUCUAUACUGACAAGGACAUAAAGCACUACCUCUAUCCCACCAACAAGUGUCUGUAGGCAAGGAUUUUUAAUUAUGCUCUCAAUUGUUACCCCGUGAGCUGUUCCAACAAGCUGAACUCCUCUUUGAGCUAUAGUACUUGCUGCCAUAGCUUCAAGUUCUGUUCCAAUUUCAUCAAUUAUAAUGACCUCGGGCAUAUGAUUCUCAACUGCUUCAAUCAUGACCUAGUCGCAGCAGCACAACAUAAGUGAAGAACUCCAUAAAUGAGGCAAAGUGGCAGUGGUGCACUUACAUUGUGUUGCAUGCUAACGUUUGGAACUUGCAUUCUCCUUGCGAGACCAAUUCCUGAAUGAGUAAAAAAGGAAGAAAAUGAAAGGGCAUGAGUUACCUGAUCAACGUAGUCUUCCCAACUCCAGGAGGGCCAAUCACUAAGAUAGAACCUCCAUCUUCAACUAAAUCACGGAUCAUCUCUGCGCUCCCGGCGAUAGCCCGGCC